GUGCUCGCUUCAGCAGCACAUAUGCUAAAAUUAGAAUGCUACAGAGACGAUUAGCAUGGCCUCUGCGCAAGGAUGACAUGCAAAUUAGUGAAGCAUUUCAUAUUUUU
Molecule: small nuclear RNA, 107 nt
Organism: Grammomys surdaster
Lineage: Eukaryota; Metazoa; Chordata; Mammalia; Rodentia; Muridae
Source: RefSeq, a predicted model, not a curated record